AAGUCGUAACAAGGUUUCCGUAGGUGAACCUGCGGAAGGAUCAUUAACACGUUUCGUUCCGAACGUUUUGACCCAUCCUAUUUUCCGUGCACCCAAACGCGUCCGGCCUCCCAGCCGCUCACUGGGUUUACUCAGUGUUGCCUGUUGGGCGUCUUCGGGAUCAAGGAAUGAGUUUGUGCUAUAGACUUGACCGUUUUCGCACUUGCUCGUUUCUCCUGAACGGCGUUGCCACCUCACCCAAACCCUUGAACCUAACUGAUCUGAACUUUUAGUUGACUUCACUGUCAACGACUAUGAACAAACAACAACUCUUAACAACGGAUAUCUUGGUUCUC
Molecule: unclassified non-coding RNA, 335 nt
Filed under: fungal sp.
Lineage: Eukaryota; Fungi
Description: partial internal transcribed spacer region
Rfam family: Eukaryotic small subunit ribosomal RNA (bases 1-46)
Source: RNAcentral